AAGACUAUACUUUCAGGGAUCAUUUCUAUAGUUUGUUAUUAAUGGCUGGCUGCUAAAAAGUAGACACCAUUUGAUAGUAGACUGAAGAGGGUGUUUACU
This is a small nucleolar RNA of Macaca fascicularis (crab-eating macaque), 99 nucleotides long. Its record names the gene U3. It matches the Rfam family "Small nucleolar RNA U3". From Rfam's summary of the family: Small nucleolar RNAs (snoRNAs) are involved in the processing and modification of rRNA in the nucleolus. Lineage: Eukaryota; Metazoa; Chordata; Mammalia; Primates; Cercopithecidae. The record is from Ensembl.